Molecule: long non-coding RNA, 1794 nt
Organism: Panthera uncia (snow leopard)
Lineage: Eukaryota; Metazoa; Chordata; Mammalia; Carnivora; Felidae
Exons: 5
Source: RefSeq, a predicted model, not a curated record
CACAAUGCUGGGCAUAGAGUCAUAUUCGAUGGGUACUUGCUGAUGAGUUAAAGAGAAACCACAGUGUGAACCAUGGCCAAGAGGCUUUGUGACCUCAUUGUCCUGUGAGUUACCUUGUCCAGACAACAUACUGAAAAAUCACUGCUUUUCCUGAGGUCUGACUGGUAGCGCCUGGUUCAAUCUCAGAAUAGUGAUCCUCCACGGGACCAACAGCCCUCCCCUAAACAAGGGCUUUAGAAAUUUGUGGCUCUUUGUCUGGCAUUUUAUGACAGAAGCCAGGGAAGCUGAAUGGCUUACAAAGCCCUGGAGAGAACAGUCACAACUUGUCCUGCAUCCUAUACUCCUUUGGAGUGUUCCUUCAGACACCUGGGCUGGUUUCCUGGUCAGGAGACUGCAACUGGUCUACAUAAGCUGUCGUUGGUGGUGAUCUGCACGUUUGAGGAAUGAGCAAGAGUGAGGGAGGCAGCGGCUCAGCCCUCCUGUACACAGCUGGCCCCAUCAAGGGAACAGAUUAGCCAGUUAAACUGAUAUAGCCAUCGCCAGCCCAACCAAUGCCACACUGUGAAGGGAAAGCGCAGGAGAAGUUCGGGAAACCAAGCCUGGGAGGAGGCAGGUGGCUGACAAGGGCCUCAGCUCUGACCCUGUGAAUCCCUGCUAAUCAUAUGUGCUUCCCCAGAGGGAGGGCCCAGAGCUACACCGCCUUGUUGGGUACUCAGUGAUGCCAAGAUUUAGGGACACCCAUGCCUGCCUCUCCGCCCAUGUUUACAUCUUGGAAGACUGUGCGAAUGUUGAGGAAGACACCGCCAGCCUGGAAGCUGCAGCGAGCCACACGGACGUGAGGGAAGAGCGGGGAAGGCAGAAGAAGGCUAGAGUGAACCACCGUCACCAGGACUUGCCAGCUCUGCCGUGGAAGACAAAAGGGGAAGGGGCUGAUGGCGCCAGUGAGGCCCUGGGAGGCAGAGAGCAUUUAUUCUCAGGACAAGGGAGACGGUUUGAUUGAAAAGCAUGUUAGGAAAAAACAAGGUUUUUUUUUUAACUGUUCCUUUGGCUUUUUAAAAAUGGAAUGACAAAGAACAGUUGUACAGAGAAAUGUCAAUGGCUUUGCACGGAGAAUUCUUGAUGAGGUAGGCUCCGUGGAGAAGCCUGGCAAAUGAGCUGUCAGCCCUGCUACAGCAGCCCUUCUACCGGCCGUGACUUUUUUUUAACAGCUUUACUGAGAUGAAAUUACAUUUCAUGAAAGACACCCAUGUCACCUGUAGGGUUCAAUGAUUUCGGUCAUUAACAACCUCUUACUGCCAACUCCAAAGGAUGCUCUUCAGUGGUCUUCCUCGAUCUACUGGCCUUACCGGAUUGCUCCAUUUGGUCGGUUCUCUCCUUUUCUUGGCUCUUGUUCUUUUUCCUCGGCCCAUUUUUGAGGUUCUCCUGAGUUCUACUUUCUAGAUGGUUCCACCAUCUAGUUUUCUUCCCCCAGGGUGACUUUAGUUAUUACCUUUAUGUCAGUGUCUCCCAAAUCUCUAUCUGCAGACUCACUGAUAAGGGCCUGGUGAAAAGCUAAGAAGCAACAAUCCCUAUAUAUUCCUAGGUAGCCAAGUAUGUGGAUAGGAACACAGGCUGCAGCUGGAAGUCUUAGGAGAGGUGUGGUCUUGGCCCAGUUACUUUUCUGGAGAUGUUUCUUCAACUGUCAAACGGGAAUAAUAGUGCCUAGUGACAUGGUUGUUGUGAGGACUAAAAUAAGGGGCUUGAUAUUUAUAAGAUGUUUUUAAAUUAAAAAAAAUGUUUAUUUUUCAGAGAGAG